GAGCUUGCUCUUAUGAAGUUAGCGGCGGACGGGUGAGUAACACGUGGGUAACCUGCCCAUAAGACUGGGAUAACUCCGGGAAACCGGGGCUAAUACCGGAUAACAUUUUGAACCGCAUGGUUCGAAAUUGAAAGGCGGCUUCGGCUGUCACUUAUGGAUGGACCCGCGUCGCAUUAGCUAGUUGGUGAGGUAACGGCUCACCAAGGCAACGAUGCGUAGCCGACCUGAGAGGGUGAUCGGCCACACUGGGACUGAGACACGGCCCAGACUCCUACGGGAGGCAGCAGUAGGGAAUCUUCCGCAAUGGACGAAAGUCUGACGGAGCAACGCCGCGUGAGUGAUGAAGGCUUUCGGGUCGUAAAACUCUGUUGUUAGGGAAGAACAAGUGCUAGUUGAAUAAGCUGGCACCUUGACGGUACCUAACCAGAAAGCCACGGCUAACUACGUGCCAGCA
RNAcentral lists this ribosomal RNA (454 nucleotides) under Bacillus sp. LIPOA/UEL_18. RNAcentral describes it as "bacterial SSU rRNA". It matches the Rfam family "Bacterial small subunit ribosomal RNA", at positions 76 to 513 of the family's 1533-position model. The record is from RNAcentral. Lineage: Bacteria; Bacillati; Bacillota; Bacilli; Caryophanales; Bacillaceae.